Molecule: small RNA, 105 nt
Filed under: Marmota monax (woodchuck)
Lineage: Eukaryota; Metazoa; Chordata; Mammalia; Rodentia; Sciuridae
Source: RNAcentral
GCUGGGUGUGGUGGUGCACACCUGUAAUCCCAGCAGCUCAGGAUGCUGAGGCGGGAGGAUUGCAAGUUAGAAAAGACCUAAGCAAUUUGUGAGACCCUGGCUCAA